This 44-nucleotide small RNA is filed under the name Sinorhizobium meliloti 2011. Its description in RNAcentral is "putative ncRNA". The record is from RNAcentral. Lineage: Bacteria; Pseudomonadati; Pseudomonadota; Alphaproteobacteria; Hyphomicrobiales; Rhizobiaceae.
UGCAGAAGUCGCCCCUCCCCCUUGUGGGGAGGGGUUGGGGAGGG